UACGAAGGGGACUAGCGGUGCUCGGAAUUACUGGGCGUAAAGCGCACGUAGGCGGACUUUUAAGUCGGGGCUGAAAUCCUGGAGCUCAACUCCAGAACUGCCUUCGAAACUGAAAGCCUUGAGUUCGGGAGAGGUGAGUGGAACUGCGAGUGUAGAGGUGAAAUUCGUAGAUAUUCGCAAGAACACCAGUGGCGAAGGCGGCUCACUGGCCCGAUACUGACGCUGAGGUGCGAAAGCGUGGGGAGCAAACAGG
RNAcentral lists this ribosomal RNA (253 nucleotides) under uncultured bacterium. RNAcentral's name for it is "partial 16S ribosomal RNA". It matches the Rfam family "Bacterial small subunit ribosomal RNA", at positions 524 to 776 of the family's 1533-position model. The record is from RNAcentral.